Oncorhynchus tshawytscha (Chinook salmon) is the source of this 4759-nucleotide long non-coding RNA. The record is from Ensembl. NCBI's taxonomy places the organism in Eukaryota, Metazoa, Chordata, Actinopteri, Salmoniformes, Salmonidae.
GUAGCUCUUAUGCCCCCCACAAUUGCAACUUCAACUACAACUGUAGCAUCACCUACAACAACAACUGCAGAUGCUUCCACAACCACAAGUGCAGCACCUACUACCUCAAUCCCAACUGCAGGUCCUACUACCAUUUUGACUCCUAAGACAAUCACAACUGAAGCUCCUACAGAAAUCACAACUGUAGCUCUUAUACCCCCCACAAUUGCAACUUCUACUUCAACAACUGUUGCUUCCACGAACACAACUGCAGCGGCUCCUAUAAUAACAACUGUAGAUGCUUCCAUAAACAAAACAGCAGCACCUACUACGUCAAUCUCAACUGCAGGUCCUACUACCAAUUUAACUCCAACGACAACCUCAACUGAAGCUCCAACAGACAUCACAACUGUCGCUCCUAUGCACCCCACAAUUGCAACUUCAAAUGUAGCAUCACCUACAACAACAACUGCAGAUGCUUCCACAACCACAAGUGCAGCACCUACUACCUCAAUCCCAACUGCAGGUCCUACUACCAUUUUGACUCCUAAGACAAUCACAACUGAAGCUCCUACAGAAAUCACAACUGUAGCUCUUAUGACCCCCACAAUUGCAGCUUCUACUUUACCAACUGUUGCUCCCACGACCACAACUGCAGCAGCUCCUAUAACAACAACUGUAGAUGCUUCCAAAAACACAACAUCAGCACCUACUACGUCAAUCACAACUGCAGGUCCUACUAACAUUUUAACUCCAAUGAUAAGCACAACUGAGGCUCCUUCAGACUCCACUACUGUUGCUCCUUUGAACCCCACAAUUGCAGCUUCUUCUUCAACAACUGUAGCUCCCACGAUCACUACAACUGCAGAAGCUCCUACGACAACAACUGUAGCUGCUUCUACAUUUACUACUGCAUCCCCUACUGCAACCACAACAGAAGCUCCUUCUACAACAACUGUAGCACCAAUGACUUUAGGAACAACAGUCCCAACGACAACUGCAGCUAAUUCCUCAACUUUAGCUCCUUCAAUGCCAAUCCCAACUGCAGCUCCUAUAACAACAACUCUUGCUCCUACAACCUCUACAACUUCCGCACCCACUAGUUUAUUCACAACUGCAGGUCCUACUACCAUUUUACCUCCUUCAACAACCACUACAACAUCCACUACAACAACUGUAGCUCCUACAAUGUCAAUCUCAGCUGCAGGUCCUACUACCAAUUUAACUCCAACGACAACCUCAACUGAAGCUCCAACAGACAUCACAACUGUAGCACCUAUGCACCCCACAAUUGCAACUUUAACUGUAGCAUCACCUACAACAACAACUGCAGAUGCUUCCACAACCAGAGGUGCAGCACCUACUACCUCAAUCCCAACUGCAGGUCCUACUACCAUUUUGACUCCUAAGACAAUCACAACUGAAGCUCCUACAGAAAUCACAACUGUAGCUCUUAUGCCCCCCACAAUUGCAACUUCAAUUACAACUGUAGCAUCGCCUACAACAACAACUACAGAUGCUUCCACAACCACAAGUGCAGCACCUACUACAUCAAUCCCAACUGCAGGUCCUACUACCAUUUUGACUCCUAAGACAAUCACAACUGAAGCUCCUACAGAAAUCACAACUGUAGCUCUUAUACCCCCCACAAUUGCAACUUCUACUUCAACAACUGUUGCUUCCACGAACACAACUGCAGCGGCUCCUAUAAUAACAACUGUAGAUGCUUCCAUAAACAAAACAGCAGCACCUACUACGUCAAUCUCAACUGCAGGUCCUACUACCAAUUUAACUCCAACGACAACCUCAACUGAAGCUCCAACAGACAUCACAACUGUCGCUCCUAUGCACCCCACAAUUGCAACUUCAAAUGUAGCAUCACCUACAACAACAACUGCAGAUGCUUCCACAACCACAAGUGCAGCACCUACUACCUCAAUCCCAACUGCAGGUCCUACUACCAUUUUGACUCCUAAGACAAUCACAACUGAAGCUCCUACAGAAAUCACAACUGUAGCUCUUAUGCCCCCCACAACUUCUACUUCAACAACUGUUGCUCCCACGACCACAACUGCAGCAGCUCCUAUAACAACAACUGUAGAUGCUUCCAGAAACACAACAUCAGCACCUACUACGUCAAUCACAACUGCAGGUCCUACUAACAUUUUGACUCCAAUGACAAGCACAACUGAGGCUCCUUCAGACGUCACUACUGUUGCUCCUUUGAACCCCACAAUUGCAGCUUCUUCUUCAACAACUGUAGCUCCCACGAUCACUACAACUGCAGAAGCUCCUACGACAACAACUGUAGCUGCUUCUACAUUUACUACUGCAUCCCCUACUGCAACCACAACAGACGCUCCUUCUACAACAACUGUAGCAUCAAUGACUUUAGGAACAACAGUCCCAACGACAACUGCAGCUAAUUCCUCAACUUUAGCUCCUUCAAUGCCAAUCCCAACUGCAGCUCCUAUAACAACAACUCUUGCUCCUACAACCUCUACAACUUCAGCACCCACUAGUUUAUUCACAACUGCAGGUCCUACUACCAUUUUACCUCCUUCGACAACCACUACAACAACUGUAGCUCCUACAAUGUCAAUCUCAACUGCAGGUCCUACUACCAAUUUAACUCCAACGACAACCACAACUGAAGCUCUUACAGACAUCACAACUGUAGCUCCUAUGCCACCCACAAUUGCAACUUCAACUGUAGCAUCACCUACAACAACAACUACAGAUGCUUCCACAACCACAGGUGCAGCACCUACUACAUCAAUCACAACUGAAGCUCCUACAGAAAUCACAACUGUAGCUCUUAUGCCCCCCACAAUUGCAACUUCAACUACAACUGUAGCAUCACCUACAACAACAACUACAGAUGCUUCCACAACCACAAGUGCAGCACCUACUACAUCAAUCACAACUGCAGGUCCUACUACCAUUUUGACUCCUAAGACCAUUACAACUGCAGCUCUUAUGACCCCCACAAUUGCAGCUUCUACUUCAACAACUGUUGCUCCCACGACCACAACUGCAGCAGCUCCUAUAACAACAAUUGUAGCUGCUUCCACAAACAAAACAGCAGCACCUACUACGUCAAUCACAACUGCAGGUCCUACUAACAUUUUACCUCCUUCGACAACCACAACUGUAUCACCUAUGACAACCUCAACAACUGUAGCUCCUACAAUGUCAAUCUCAACUGCAGGUCCUACUACCAUUUUACCUCCUACGACAACCACAACUGUAUCACCUAUGACAACCUCAACAACUGUAGCUCCUACAACACCAAUCACAACUGCAGGUCCUAAAACCAUAUUAACGACAACCGCCACUGCAACUUCUACUACAACUACAAAUGCAGGUCCUUCAACCACCACAACUGCAGCGCCUAUUACAACUAGAACAGCAGCUCCUACAAGUUCAACCACAAUUGCACUUCCUACCUCGACAACCACAACGGCAACAUUUACCUCAACUUCUACGGCUUCAGUGGCAUCAACUAGAUUUGGCACAGUGGUGGUUUUUGUAAGACUAGAGUUCCAGCUCAACACUGCAGUCCCCAGUAAGGAUGUCGUCCUUGGUGCCGUCGACAAGAAACUGUCUACACAAUUCAGGACCUUCAAAAUUCAAAGAAACACUCAAGCCACCCUCCAGAAUGCAACUUAUAUCAAACUUUCAGAUACUUCAUUUGCUGUUGAUCUUGGUUUCAAAAUAACCAAUGUAUCUAUGGAGGAGAGACUGCUUCAAAGUGCUAGAGCCACUUUCACCGAUGAUACCUACAGCCAGAUACAGGAUUCAAUUAACAGCCUACUGCAUGAUAUUCUCAGUGAACCAAAAGGCAAACAAUUUGACUUUCCCAAAGCCAAAUUUAGUGUUGUUGGCAAUCAAAUCAGGGCAAACGUGACGUAUGUAUACAAAGAGAAAGACGUCAACCUCCCUAGUGCCUUUCUAGGGGAUGUUUUAAAAGUCUCAGGUCUCCUAACAACCACUGUUGCACCAACAACAACUACCAGCACCUCACCACCUACUACCCCUUUGCUGACCACUCCUUUCAGUAUAAGUGACAGAGGUUUUCCUGGCUGGGCUCUGGCCAUUAUCAUCCCCUGUGGCAUCGCUAUCAUUCUGGUACCCCUGUGGAUCCUGCUAUGUUGCAUGCUAUGUGGCGGCUGUGCAGCUUUAAGGAGACGCUGGCAACAACACAGAGCUUACAACGUACAGUACACCACAAGAAACGGCAUCUUCUGAGGUGACAAGACUAUCAAAAUAACAGCUAAUCAUCUAUAUCUGCUCAUCAUCACAACAAAUAAUAUAUUUUUCAUGUAAUCCAUACACCAUUACUUUUGAGAAGAUCAAACACGGACUUGCUUUUAUUUUUAUAACAAAAUUGCAUUGUUCUUGAAAGGGUUAAUAGGUCAUGUGUUUCCCCAAUGUACUACUUUUUAAUAUUAUACAGUAUUUCUCAUUUUAGUCAAAGCUACAGCUGAGCUGGUAUAUUAUGCAUUUAUGUAAUUUAAUCAUUUAUAUACACAAAAAUAUUAUUUUUGAUUUUUGUCAUUUCCCCUGCUGAUUUAAGCUAUUAACUCACUAUAUUUGAAAGUCUGCAAUACAGCACUUGUUUCUUUAUCAUACAAUUUAACACAUGUAAUAAAAGCCUUUCAAAUCAACAUUAACUGGAUAAAUAAUGUCUGCAGAAAUCCUCUUAGAAUUAUUUAAACAUGCUAUAACGCAACAAUUGUUAACACUUUGCUCUACGUGGGUAAGGUAUUCAUAACAC